RNAcentral lists this ribosomal RNA (611 nucleotides) under uncultured Rubrivivax sp. RNAcentral's name for it is "bacterial SSU rRNA". It matches the Rfam family "Bacterial small subunit ribosomal RNA", at positions 69 to 673 of the family's 1533-position model. The record is from RNAcentral. Lineage: Bacteria; Pseudomonadati; Pseudomonadota; Betaproteobacteria; Burkholderiales; Sphaerotilaceae.
GCAGCGCGGGAGCAAUCCUGGCGGCGAGUGGCGAACGGGUGAGUAAUGCAUCGGAACGUGCCCAGUGGUGGGGGAUAGCCCGGCGAAAGCCGGAUUAAUACCGCAUACGACCUACGGGUGAAAGCGGGGGACUCGCAAGAGCCUCGCGCCAUUGGAGCGGCCGAUGUCAGAUUAGGUUGUUGGUGAGGUAAAGGCUCACCAAGCCGACGAUCUGUAGCUGGUCUGAGAGGACGACCAGCCACACUGGGACUGAGACACGGCCCAGACUCCUACGGGAGGCAGCAGUGGGGAAUUUUGGACAAUGGGCGCAAGCCUGAUCCAGCCAUGCCGCGUGCGGGAAGAAGGCCUUCGGGUUGUAAACCGCUUUUGUCGGGGAAGAAAUCCCUUGGGCUAAUACCCCGGGGGGAUGACGGUACCCGAAGAAUAAGCACCGGCUAACUACGUGCCAGCAGCCGCGGUAAUACGUAGGGUGCAAGCGUUAAUCGGAAUUACUGGGCGUAAAGCGUGCGCAGGCGGUUGUGCAAGACAGAUGUGAAAUCCCCGGGCUCAACCUGGGAACUGCAUUUGUGACUGCACGGCUGGAGUGCGGCAGAGGGGGAUGGAAUUCCGCG